CACUCCUACGGGAGGCAGCAGUGGGGAAUAUUGGACAAUGGGCGCAAGCCUGAUCCAGCCAUGCCGCGUGAGUGAUGAAGGCCCUAGGGUUGUAAAGCUCUUUCACCGGUGAAGAUAAUGACGGUAACCGGAGAAGAAGCCCCGGCUAACUUCGUGCCAGCAGCCGCGGUAAUACGAAGGGGGCUAGCGUUGUUCGGAUUUACUGGGCGUAAAGCGCACGUAGGCGGACUAUUAAGUCAGGGGUGAAAUCCCGGGGCUCAACCCCGGAACUGCCUUUGAUACUGGUAGUCUUGAGUUCGAGAGAGGUGAGUGGAAUUCCGAGUGUAGAGGUGAAAUUCGUAGAUAUUCGGAGGAACACCAGUGGCGAAGGCGGCUCACUGGCUCGAUACUGACGCUGAGGUGCGAAAGCGUGGGGAGCAAACAGGAUUAGAUACCCCAGUAGUCCCAU
RNAcentral lists this ribosomal RNA (448 nucleotides) under uncultured organism. RNAcentral describes it as "partial 16S ribosomal RNA". It matches the Rfam family "Bacterial small subunit ribosomal RNA", at positions 334 to 798 of the family's 1533-position model. The record is from RNAcentral.